RNAcentral lists this ribosomal RNA (468 nucleotides) under uncultured bacterium. RNAcentral's name for it is "partial 16S ribosomal RNA". It matches the Rfam family "Bacterial small subunit ribosomal RNA", at positions 28 to 507 of the family's 1533-position model. The record is from RNAcentral.
GACGAACGCUGGCGGCGUGCUUAACACAUGCAGGUCGAACGGAAAGGCCCUGCUUUUGUGGGGUGCUCGAGUGGCGAACGGGUGAGUAACACGUGAGUAACCUGCCCUUGACUUUGGGAUAACUUCGGGAAACUGGGGCUAAUACCGGAUAGGAGCUCCUGCUGCAUGGUGGGGGUUGGAAAGUUUCGGCGGUUGGGGAUGGACUCGCGGCUUAUCAGCUUGUUGGUGGGGUAGUGGCUUACCAAGGCUUUGACGGGUAGCCGGCCUGAGAGGGUGACCGGCCACAUUGGGACUGAGAUACGGCCCAGACUCCUACGGGAGGCAGCAGUGGGGAAUAUUGCACAAUGGGCGGAAGCCUGAUGCAGCAACGCCGCGUGCGGGAUGACGGCCUUCGGGUUGUAAACCGCUUUCGCCUGUGACGAAGCGUGAGUGACGGUAAUGGGUAAAGAAGCACCGGCUAACUACGUG